This 253-nucleotide ribosomal RNA is filed under the name uncultured bacterium. Its description in RNAcentral is "partial 16S ribosomal RNA". It matches the Rfam family "Bacterial small subunit ribosomal RNA", at positions 524 to 776 of the family's 1533-position model. The record is from RNAcentral.
UACGAAGGGGGCUAGCGUUGCUCGGAAUCACUGGGCGUAAAGCGCACGUAGGCGGAUUGCUAAGUCAGGGGUGAAAUCCUGGAGCUCAACUCCAGAACUGCCCUUGAUACUGGCGGUCUCGAGUCCGGGAGAGGUGAGUGGAACUGCGAGUGUAGAGGUGAAAUUCGUAGAUAUUCGCAAGAACACCAGUGGCGAAGGCGGCUCACUGGCCCGGUACUGACGCUGAGGUGCGAAGGCGUGGGGAGCAAACAGG